This 253-nucleotide ribosomal RNA is filed under the name uncultured bacterium. RNAcentral describes it as "partial 16S ribosomal RNA". It matches the Rfam family "Bacterial small subunit ribosomal RNA", at positions 524 to 776 of the family's 1533-position model. The record is from RNAcentral.
UACGAAGGGGGCUAGCGUUGCUCGGAAUCACUGGGCGUAAAGCGCACGUAGGCGGGUUGUUAAGUCGGGGGUGAAAUCCUGGAGCUCAACUCCAGAACUGCCUUCGAUACUGGCGACCUUGAGUCCGGGAGAGGUGAGUGGAACUCCGAGUGUAGAGGUGAAAUUCGUAGAUAUUCGGAAGAACACCAGUGGCGAAGGCGGCUCACUGGCCCGGUACUGACGCUGAGGUGCGAAAGCGUGGGUAGCGAACAGG